CUGAAUUUUGACGUAAUUUCUUCUGAUGUAGCUUGCAGGUGGUAGAGGUGUAUUUGAAAGUCGACAGUAUCUUGACAGCGAUUAGAAUGUCCUCCGUCUGCUAGUCUUCUUGAUUCUUAAAUUCUGUGGAGCUCAAAUAGACAACAAAGCUUUGUGGAACUAAUUAAGUGUUAUCAUAAAUAUCUAGCCUUCAUCAUGUUGAGCCUCCUCAAUAAAUGUAACUCUCUAUUUUUAUAUUUUCGUUUUUAUAAAGCAGAAAAAUAUUUAUUUUAUUUUUAUGCCACCACAGUAAAUGUACUGAUGGGUUUUAUGUCACUCGUAUACUCACACGGGGCUUACUGUUUUUAUCAUUUUUAUUUUCUUUUUAGGAUAGUAUGAACAUGAUUAACUAAGUAAACUAUUUAAAAUAAUUGAAAGGGAAAAGAUAACUACCAAGUUUACCUCUUGGCAAGGCGUUCGGUGUUUUUAAGUCCUCCGAACGGGACUUUCUGUUUUCUAGUUGUCCUGGGAUUUGUUGGGUGGCGGAGUCGGUACUUCCGGCAACGCCUCCUCUUCAUGUAUAGUUAUCUUCUCUCUCCACACCUGACUCGGUGCUACGGUCUCUUCUGGAUAAUUCUGUUUAAACUGUAUGUCUUCUGACCUUACCACUUCUCCUUCAUAGUCUGCCCAUCCAUCCUUGAUGAUUUCCCUCCUCUGAUUGCGGUUGCGUCGUUUUCUGACCUGCUUAGAGUCUUCAAUGAUAUAGUUAGGGUCAGUAAAAUAGCGGUGUACCUUCUCUAAGGGGAAGUGCAUAUGGACUUCUCCGGUUCCAAUGUAGAUAAUUGCUUUAAGUUAUUCUCAACUAUAUAGUCUAGCAUUAUCAUAGUUAGUGCAAGCAUACUUAACAAUCAUUGCAAGACAAGACUACGCCCAUGCAUAGUGAUAUUAGCAAGGAAUAUGAGAAACAUCGUAAUCACUCCCCUUUGCUCUGCCAGCCUAAUACACGAGAGGGGGACAAUAUAAGAAUCAAUGAAGCUGUCACUAUCACGAACUACCCCACGAUCUGGUAUAUUGGGUACAAUCGCAAAUAAAUACGGUAUAAGCACUACGCCUACACAAUAUCUAUCAUUUACCCAUGGAUCCGAUGGAUAAACGCUAUACAAUCCUAAACAUGUAUAUAGAUCCAAUCUAACU
Molecule: long non-coding RNA, 1173 nt
Filed under: Sorghum bicolor (sorghum)
Lineage: Eukaryota; Viridiplantae; Streptophyta; Magnoliopsida; Poales; Poaceae
Description: long non-coding RNA (SBIC_LNC008828)
Source: RNAcentral